UACGUAGGGGGCAAGCGUUGUCCGGAAUCAUUGGGCGUAAAGAGCGCGUAGGCGGCCCAGUAAGUCCGCUCUGAAAGUCAGAGGCUCAACCUCUGAAUGCGGGUGGAUACUGCUGGGCUAGAGUCCGGAAGAGGCGAGUGGAAUUCCUGGUGUAGCGGCGAAAUGCGCAGAUAUCAGGAGGAACACCGAUGGCGAAGGCAGCUCGCUGGGACGGUACUGACGCUGAGGCGCGAAAGCGUGGGGAGCAAACAGG
RNAcentral lists this ribosomal RNA (253 nucleotides) under uncultured bacterium. RNAcentral's name for it is "partial 16S ribosomal RNA". It matches the Rfam family "Bacterial small subunit ribosomal RNA", at positions 524 to 776 of the family's 1533-position model. The record is from RNAcentral.